CUCCCUCACUCUCAUUUCCUGCCUUCCCUGACCUCCGCCCUCCACCCAUGCGUCGCCUCCCUACUGCCUCCUACCAUGGCCUCCGACGAGCUCCUCUACCGCUUGUCCUCUCUCCACCUCCCCUCUCUGUCUGUCACGCUUCUUCUUUGCUGUCGCCGGCCACAAAUCCGCGCUCCCCCGCCUCCACCGCCACCCCACCCAGCUUUGAGGCACCACCGGAGCCGCCUCCAUUGCGAACCGCUCCCUCGCUAACCGCUAUGAAUCUCGAUGCCCCCGCGCAACCGUCCGUCCACCGCCACCACCGCCAAGCCAGCAGCCUCCCCGAGCCUCCCUCUAAGCCGAUGCACCGUCACCGACCCGAGCGGCCUCCGCCACCACCGCCGCCUCCAUCCUUCGGCCCCACGGCUCAGCCGACCUCCCCUUGCUCCUCCACCACCACCACCAGCUCCACUGCCGUGGUCAUCGCCGACCUGGAUGAACUGCUCCUCAUGGCCCUACCACCGUUGGCGUCGGAGCCGCGGAGCUUCCCGUAUGUGGUGAAGCAGCAGUGCUGGGAGAAGGUGGAGCGAGUGCCCAGGCGUGACCCAGAGAGGUGGCGCCGUGACGCGCUCGACAACGUUGUCUUCCGCAAACUCGUCGGAUGCCCCGGCAGCCUCUGCCACGACUACAACCACAUCGUCCCCUACUCCAAGGAGGCAUUUUGAGUGGAUGGGGCUGGAGCUGGAGCUGCGAGAUAGUAUUGCUAGCAGGAAUAAUUUGAAGGCAAAUUUCCAAUGGAAAUCCAUGGUUGCAGGUUUAACAUGCAGCUUCGUGCCUAUUUUUAAAUUUUCAUCUGUUGAUACAGACUCCCAUAGAGUUUUCUAAUAAAGGGGCUCACAGCUGUCUGUUCCGGUUGCUGGGACUUUCUCAUCUGUCCAGCCAGUGCAACAUUGGUAUGCUAUCAUCGCCGCCAUGCCAGCUCCCGACUAGAAGGGACUGCAAGAGGAGACCCUUCUGCUAACAGAAAGGCAACAAAGUGAAGCAGCUAGCACUGCACUAGCUGAAUCUCAAGCGAGAAAUGAAGCAUUAGCAAGCAAGCUUGAAGACGCUGUGAAACAAAAUGAUCUCCUCUGUGAAACUGUUAAAAGGUUUGUUGUUCCAGAAACUACUGUAAGCAGCACUCAGAUGUGCUGUUUUGGGGACCCAAAUGACUUUAUUUAGUGGUAACAUUUUGUGAGAUAGCAUGAUUCGAUUAUCAUUAAAAUAGAAUUGCCCCCCUGAGGAUCUCUGCAAUUUGGCUGUUUUGAGGGGCCGGGACCAAUCACACUAACUUUCAUUGCUUAUAGUUAUCCUCUAUUCAUCAUUUUUGUGCUGCCACAUUUUUUCCUCCAUAUUAUAAGAUCUACAGAGAGCCAUCAAACAAGGCUUGCAUUCAGAAAAUGUAUACAGAGUUUGUUUGAUUCAGAUUUUUAUGCAGAAGCCUUUAGAUGUAUUAU
This is an RNA transcript of Phragmites australis (common reed), 1475 nucleotides long. It is a transcript of the gene named sulfated surface glycoprotein 185-like, with no coding region annotated. NCBI's taxonomy places the organism in Eukaryota, Viridiplantae, Streptophyta, Magnoliopsida, Poales, Poaceae. The transcript is spliced from 5 exons. The record is from RefSeq and is a predicted model, not a curated record.